Molecule: small nuclear RNA, 129 nt
Filed under: Monopterus albus (swamp eel)
Lineage: Eukaryota; Metazoa; Chordata; Actinopteri; Synbranchiformes; Synbranchidae
Description: U4 spliceosomal RNA (ENSMALG00000013232.1)
Rfam family: U4 spliceosomal RNA
About the family: U4 small nuclear RNA (U4 snRNA) is a component of the major U2-dependent spliceosome. The structure of U4 snRNA from yeast and human has been reported.
Source: RNAcentral
AACUGGGUGGAGCUCUGCUAGUAAUUAACUGAGGUGCGAUUAUUGCUAGUUGAAAACUUUACCCAAUACCCUGCCUUGAUGACUUGAAAUAUAGUCAGCAAUGGCAAUUUUUGAUGGUCUCUAAGGAGA